This 70-nucleotide transfer RNA is filed under the name Flavobacterium hydrocarbonoxydans. Its description in RNAcentral is "Flavobacterium sp. GA093 tRNA-Thr". It matches the Rfam family "tRNA". Rfam says of the family: Transfer RNA (tRNA) molecules are approximately 80 nucleotides in length. Their secondary structure includes four short double-helical elements and three loops (D, anti-codon, and T loops). Lineage: Bacteria; Pseudomonadati; Bacteroidota; Flavobacteriia; Flavobacteriales; Flavobacteriaceae. The record is from RNAcentral.
UCCCGAUUAGUUCAAUGGCAGAAUGCAGCCUUGUUUGUUGCAGAUACAGGUUCGAACCCUGUAUCGGGAG